UAUUCCUACGGGGGGCAGCAGUGGGGAAUAUUGCGCAAUGGGCGAAAGCCUGACGCAGCGACGCCGCGUGAGGGAUGAAGGGUUUCGGAUCGUAAACCUCGGUCAGAAGGGAAGAAGUUGCAUGGGGCCAAUCACCUGUGCAUUGACGGUACCUUCAAAGGAAGCACCGGCUAACUCCGUGCCAGCAGCCGCGGUAAUACGGAGGGUGCGAGCGUUAAUCGGAAUUACUGGGCGUAAAGCGCACGUAGGAUGUAUGUCAAGUCAAGGGUGACA
This 273-nucleotide ribosomal RNA is filed under the name uncultured bacterium. Its description in RNAcentral is "partial 16S ribosomal RNA". It matches the Rfam family "Bacterial small subunit ribosomal RNA", at positions 334 to 599 of the family's 1533-position model. The record is from RNAcentral.